ACACACCAUAGCUGCUCCCGUAAGAGUUCAGAGGUCUAUUGGGAUGUUGGCUCGGCUGCUGUGGUAGCACAAGUCCCAGACUGCUUUCUGGGACAAACUUCAAGAAGCUGGGCUGGAAGAAAAAAACACGGAAGGGGAAAUAUGAUACGCGAGGUUUACGGAAUGACUAAAGACCACCUGGAGGCCUCUUCACCAAUCGAUACCAACCUCAUGGUUGACGUUAUCUCCUAAGGAGGGGAGUUGAGAUUGAUUGUUGUUAAGCACUUUGCAGGAUGGAAAGAGGAUGAGGACGAAUCAUAAAACGCCCACGCACACCUACCCAUCCCUUUUCAGCCGCAACAGAGUGCAGCCAAUCGAUAGAAGCAGGAUCAGCAAAAACAAAUAAAUAAAUAAUAUUAAAGGAGUAAAUAUGUGAAUAAACAGGGGGGCAGCAGUUAAGAAAACAAGAAAUUGUAUCACAAAUUACUCGAAUCUAUGACAGUAAAAUGCUAAAAUCUUGUGUUUUUUAUAUUCCUUCCAAGCCAAAUAAAUAAACAUAAAAAAUUUGUUAUUAAUGAGGUCAGGUGAAUUUUAAUUGAUCCCUGUAAGACUGAUUUUGCAUUUUUAUGAGUAUUAUGUAACCAGGGGAGUCUGCGUUGUGCGAGACAAAGAGACUAGAACCACAGAUGUCUUUAGAGCUAACCUCUGUGUAUUCCUGACAUGAGAGAAAGGGAAAGGCAG
This is a long non-coding RNA of Astatotilapia calliptera (eastern happy), 720 nucleotides long. Lineage: Eukaryota; Metazoa; Chordata; Actinopteri; Cichliformes; Cichlidae. The record is from Ensembl.